UCCAGCAUGCGUAAGCCUUUUUUCUUUAAUGGUACUGCAGUGAGUUCAAAUGCAAAAUGUAGGACUAUCCUUCCACCUUCCUCUGUUCUGUUCCUAGACUCAAUUAAAUUGAUCUGUUUGCUAUCUGAUAUAAAAUGUUGCAUGGACGCCAUAUAAUGUGCACUCAAGAUUUGGUCACCAAAUUAUACCCACUUUGUUGUGUUGUCAUUCUUCAAAUUUUGGUUCUUGUAGUUACUUAGUAUUGAC
This 246-nucleotide long non-coding RNA is filed under the name Setaria italica (foxtail millet). RNAcentral describes it as "long non-coding RNA (SITA_LNC000378)". Lineage: Eukaryota; Viridiplantae; Streptophyta; Magnoliopsida; Poales; Poaceae. The record is from RNAcentral.